This 301-nucleotide ribosomal RNA is filed under the name uncultured bacterium. Its description in RNAcentral is "partial 16S ribosomal RNA". It matches the Rfam family "Bacterial small subunit ribosomal RNA", at positions 509 to 807 of the family's 1533-position model. The record is from RNAcentral.
CAGCCGCCACGGUAAUACAGAGGGUGCGAGCGUUAAUCGGAUUUACUGGGCGUAAAGCGUGCGUAGGCGGCUUCUUAAGUCGGAUGUGAAAUCCCUGAGCUUAACUUAGGAAUUGCAUUCGAUACUGGGAAGCUAGAGUAUGGGAGAGGAUGGUAGAAUUCCUGGUGUAGCGGUGAAAUGCGUAGAGAUCUGGAGGAAUACCGAUGGCGAAGGCAGCCAUCUGGCCUAAUACUGACGCUGAGGUACGAAAGCAUGGGGAGCAAACAGGAUUAGAUACCCCGGUAGUCCCUGUCUCUUAUAC